AGCGAACGCUGGCGGCAUGCUUAACACAUGCAAGUCGCACGAAGGUUUCGGCCUUAGUGGCGGACGGGUGAGUAACGCGUAGGAAUCUAUCCAUGGGUGGGGGAUAACACUGGGAAACUGGUGCUAAUACCGCAUGAUACCUGAGGGUCAAAGGCGCAAGUCGCCUGUGGAGGAGCCUGCGUUCGAUUAGCUAGUUGGUGGGGUAAAGGCCUACCAAGGCGAUGAUCGAUAGCUGGUUUGAGAGGAUGAUCAGCCACACUGGGACUGAGACGCGGCCCAGACUCCUACGGGAGGCAGCAGUGGGGAAAAUUGGACAAUGGGGGCAACCCCGAUCCAGCAAUGCCGCGUGUGUGAAGAAGGUCUUCGGAUUGUAAAGCACUUUCGACGGGGACGAUGAUGACGGUACCCGUAGAAGAAGCCCCGGCUAACUUCGUGCCAGCCGCCGCGGUAA
This 451-nucleotide ribosomal RNA is filed under the name uncultured bacterium. Its description in RNAcentral is "partial 16S ribosomal RNA". It matches the Rfam family "Bacterial small subunit ribosomal RNA", at positions 29 to 523 of the family's 1533-position model. The record is from RNAcentral.